CCUACGGUGGGCAGCAGUGGGGAAUAUUGGACAAUGGGCGAAAGCCUGAUCCAGCCAUGCCGCGUGUGUGAAGAAGGCCUUCGGGUUGUAAAGCACUUUCAGUGGGGAUGAAAGCCUUGGGGCUAAUACCCUCGAGGAAGGACAUCACCCACAGAAGAAGCACCGGCUAACUCCGUGCCAGCAGCCGCGGUAAUACGGAGGGUGCGAGCGUUAAUCGGAAUUACUGGGCGUAAAGCGCGCGUAGGCGGUCUGAUAAGCCGGUUGUGAAAGCCCCGGGCUCAACCUGGGAACGGCAUCCGGAACUGUCAGGCUAGAGUGCAGGAGAGGAGAGUAGAAUUCCCGGUGUAGCGGUGAAAUGCGUAGAGAUCGGGAGGAAUACCAGUGGCGAAGGCGGCCUUCUGGACUGACACUGACGCUGAGGUGCGAAAGCGUGGGUAGCAAACAGGAUUAGAUACCCGAGUAGUC
This 465-nucleotide ribosomal RNA is filed under the name Vreelandella stevensii. RNAcentral's name for it is "partial 16S ribosomal RNA". It matches the Rfam family "Bacterial small subunit ribosomal RNA", at positions 338 to 795 of the family's 1533-position model. Lineage: Bacteria; Pseudomonadati; Pseudomonadota; Gammaproteobacteria; Oceanospirillales; Halomonadaceae. The record is from RNAcentral.